AUAAAUCAUUUUUGAAAGAAAAAUCUGUUCUUAUCAGUUUAAUAUCUGAUACGUCCCCUAUCCGGGGACUUCAUAUUAAAUGGAUUUUUGAAUCACGGAGCCGGAGCCGGGGCUUGCUCCGUCCACUCGACGCAUCGGCCUGGUAUUGCUGUGUCUCCAGAAACGGUGUGCUUCCC
This 176-nucleotide small nuclear RNA is filed under the name Sinocyclocheilus rhinocerous. Its description in RNAcentral is "U2 spliceosomal RNA (ENSSRHG00000019053.1)". It matches the Rfam family "U2 spliceosomal RNA". From Rfam's summary of the family: U2 is a small nuclear RNA (snRNA) component of the spliceosome (involved in pre-mRNA splicing). Complementary binding between U2 snRNA (in an area lying towards the 5' end but 3' to hairpin I) and the branchpoint sequence (BPS) of the intron results the bulging out of an unpaired adenosine, on the BPS, which initiates a nucleophilic attack at the intronic 5' splice site, thus starting the first of two transesterification reactions that mediate splicing. Lineage: Eukaryota; Metazoa; Chordata; Actinopteri; Cypriniformes; Cyprinidae. The record is from RNAcentral.